Molecule: unclassified non-coding RNA, 1696 nt
Filed under: Hevea brasiliensis (rubber tree)
Lineage: Eukaryota; Viridiplantae; Streptophyta; Magnoliopsida; Malpighiales; Euphorbiaceae
Source: RNAcentral
AAUAAUACUAAAAUAAAAGUUCUAUUUUAUACAAGAAAUAUCCUCCAUCUUAUUGAGAAAUAUUCUAUUGAGGAAUAUUUCUACUACUCAAAUUAAAAAGUGCCUUCUAAAUCAACUAAAAUUUUGGAUCAUAAAUUUAACAGCAUUGACAUUUUUUAUGCAAUAAGAACACACUUUGCACCCCAUCACAUCUCUUUCUCUGCCUUUUCCAUUUCUCAAACUCAUCUUCUUUGAGGAUAAUAUAAUGAACCCAAAAUCAUUAUCAUCCAAAUCAAGCCCAUCACAAUCACCAUAAUUUCUUAUCACCCCAGCCUACAACAUUUCAAAUAUUAAUUGUUUAAUAGCAUUUUUUGUAAUGAAACAUAUUUAUAGGGCUGAAUAUGUACUGAUAAAGACCCUUCUUUCAGACUGAUUCGAUGAUCAUGAGCACGUGAAAGAGGCAAGGUUUUGGGAUCUUGAAAUAUAUCAUCAUAUUCUAAUAAAAGUGCCUCCUUUUCAAGCUAUGGUUGCUCCCUUUUAGUUACAAAACACUGCUAUUGUUCUAGGUCCCCAAAACAGAGAGAAUUUAUAAAUAGCUUCCCACUUAUCAUGUUUAAACAAUUCAGAAUACCGUAUAUCAAUCAAUAUACACAACUUUUGCUUCUGGCAUUUCCCUUCGCAAUCUCCCCAUACUACAUUUAAGGACAAUUGUGUAUUAGUUACAAUAGUGUUUUCUUCUACUCCUUCAUUCAACUCUGUAUCCUCACUAUCCAUCUCCUUAUUUGUGAUUCUUGGAUUCUUAACUGGAAAUUGGUUUUGUUUAGUUACUGAAGGAUUCAAUAACAAACCUGGCAACUCUUCUAGUAAGGUACCCGCUAUAUUGACUAGUUUGGAGGUUUGGAGUUGUGGGUUAUUGGAUUAGGAUUAGGGUUAACAGAACAGCUAGAAGUCUUGCAUACAAGUUUGGGUUUAUUUUGAAUCGCAGCCAAUGUGAUUUCUUGCAAUCUUGUAAGUGAGUAAGCUUCAGCAAGGGUUCGUGGAUUAAACAUUUGAACCAGCCUUUGCAACUCAUCAAUUAACUCGGAAAGGAAGAAACCCAAGGCUUGACUUCCUGUAUACCAACCUUAGGAUACUUUUCAUCAAAAGAAUCAAGUUAUUCUUGUAGAGAACUUGUUUCAAGUUCCUUAAGUCAAUUAAUGAAUCUUCAUAAACUUUGCCUCUAAAUCUUCCAUUGUCAGUUCUCCCAAUUUCGUCAGUGUUCUUGUCACCUACCUAUUCCACAUUCUGCAAACUGAGAACCGCAAUCAAAGAUUUGAUUUCAUCUAGGGCUUUCUCAUUUUGGAACUCAUAUUCCCUCUGCAAUGUUUCCUGCUGAAGCACGAACCCCUUUAUCAUUGUCGUAAUUCUUCGUUCCCACUCAUGAGAACUUGUUCCUUUUGCCAUAGCUGAGAAUCGAGUGGCUCUAAUGCCACUGAUACACGAAAAUGAAUUUCAAAGAACACCAACAACAAUGCCCGAUGUUUAUUACUCAUAAGAUGAUUAACAGUAUUUUGUGCAUGGGUAUUUAUCAGCUAUACAUCACAAGAACAUUAACACUUUUACAUCAGCUAAUUAUUGAUUUCCACGUGUCUUCCUAGGUUAUGCUAGUUAACAACCUUGCCACAGCCAUAAGCUCAACACACUGUUCAACUAAACCCCUACACACUAUUUCGUCCUU